Molecule: long non-coding RNA, 2041 nt
Filed under: Homo sapiens (human)
Lineage: Eukaryota; Metazoa; Chordata; Mammalia; Primates; Hominidae
Description: non-protein coding lnc-OR2B2-4:4
Source: RNAcentral
CUUUCUCCGGGAUUCCUCUGAGGGCCAAGGUCUGGUCACCCAGAGGCUGCUAAUUUCAAAGGCAAUAUGAGAGGGACUGGAUGUUUGGAGGGGGACACGGGGCUGGACAUCUGGAUCCCCAAACCCGGACUCACCUCUCGGACAGGGCUGAUUCCGAUCGGACACUUCCGGUGGAAGGACUGAGCGGCGCUACACUUCAAGAAUUCCGUCCACAGGGACUUGUGAGUCUGCGCAGAAGGCGGGAUGCCUUUGGACUACAAUUCCAAGAAUCCUUCCUGGGUCUCUUCGGGCGCAGACUUUUCGCCAAAGUCCUGAAGAUCUCAGGGCUUGAAGGAGGGGGCAUCUUUUUUCUCCAUUGUAGUAGUGUGUCUUGCUAAAUAACAGAAGGGACUCCUGAAAAGAAAAUGACGUUGGCCGGGCGCGGUGGCUCACGCCUGCAGUCCCAGCACUUUGGGAGGCCGAGACGGGCGGAUCACGAGGUCAGGAGAUCGAGACUAUCCUGGUUUACGCGGUGACACCCUGUGUCUACUAAAAAUACAAAAAAAAAAAAAAAAAAAAAAAUUGCCGGGCGUGGUGGCACGCGCCUGUAGUUCCAGGUGCUCGGGAGGCUGAGGCAGGAGAAUCGCUUGAACCCGGGAGGCGGAGCUUGCAGUGAGCCGAGACCGCGCCACUGCACUCCAGCUUGGGUGACAGAGUGAGACUCAGUCUCAGAAAAAGAAGAAGAAGAAAAAGAUACACACUCGAGCACACAUUUUCUCAGCAAAGCAAUUUACUUCUAUAGAAGGGUGCGUCUCACGGAUGGAGCAAUGGCGAGAGCACACCUGAACAAGGGAGGGGAAGGGGUUCUUAUCCCUGACGCAGGUAGUCCCUAGUGCUGUGUCGUUCCCCUACUGGCUAGGGUUGGACCGCACAGUCUAAGUUAAUUCCGAUUGGCUAUUUUAAAGAGAGCAGGGGUAUGAGCCGGAGUGGUAGGGUGAGCAGUUUCAGUGGGAAGGACGGUUACGGAACAGGUGACUAAAGGUGACUCAGGUCAGAGCAGGUGACCAGGGGUGACUCAGGACGGAGCAGGUCACCAGGGGAACAGAUGUGAACUACUGAUUAGAACUGGUGGAAAAGGUUGUUUACUGAAACUAGAGGCAAGGAGACGAGGAAAAUGAGGAAGUUAAAGUUUAAAAUGGAGAACAAAGAAUUGAACAUACUGACAUACUGAUUCUUUGAAGAGAAAUUUAGAACUCACUGUAUUUAACAAGGAGUUCAAGGCCAGCCUGGCCAACAUGGUGAAACCCCGUCUGUACUAAAAAUAUAAAAAUUAGCUGGGUGUGGUGGUGGGCGCCUGUAGUCCCAGCUACUUGGGAGGCUAAGACAGAAGAAUCGCUUGAACCCAGGAGGUGAAGGUUGCAGUGAGCUGAGAUCACGCCACUGCACUCCAGCCUGGGCGACAGAGCAAGGAUCCAUCUCAAAAAAAAAAAAAAAAGUUUAUUCGGGAAUAGGAAAUUGCAAUAAGAAUAGACGUGCCAGAGUAAACUAUGUUUCUAUUCAGGGAGGUAAAGGAAGACAAAGGUUUUUAAAGGAAGAAUGGGGAGGAUUAUUUAAUUGUUUUGAAAUCAUUAUUCUUGACUACAAAGAUCGGUAACGAGGAUGACACCAGUCUGAGGUUAGACAAACAGUUGCUGGGCGGAUGUCCUUGCAGAGGUAUUUUUGGUGUAAGAUGGGUUUUGCAGUCAUAUGUGAUAGUUUUCUUAUGAGGCAUACAAGCCUGAGAAGUGUCUCUUCAUAGCCCUCCCUGGCUCUAUCUGUCAGAUUAUUGCUUUUGUUUUUAUUUUUUAACACUAGUGGGCCGGGCGUGUUGGCUCACUUUUCUAAUUCCCCGCUUUGGGAGGCAAAGGCAGGAGGAUUAAUUGAACUCAGGAGUUCGAGACCAGCCUGGGCAACAUAGUUGGGACCUCGUCUCUACAAAAAUUAAAAAAAAAAAAAAUUAGUCGGGGGUUGUGGAAUGCACUUGUACUCCCAGCUACUCGGGAGGCUGAGGUGGGAGGAUCGC